UCGGGAAUAGCUCAGUUGGUAGAGCAUAACCUUGCCAAGGUUGGGGUCGCGAGUUCGAGUCUCGUUUCCCGCUCCA
This 76-nucleotide transfer RNA is filed under the name Acinetobacter baumannii. RNAcentral describes it as "tRNA-Gly". It matches the Rfam family "tRNA". Rfam says of the family: Transfer RNA (tRNA) molecules are approximately 80 nucleotides in length. Their secondary structure includes four short double-helical elements and three loops (D, anti-codon, and T loops). Lineage: Bacteria; Pseudomonadati; Pseudomonadota; Gammaproteobacteria; Moraxellales; Moraxellaceae. The record is from RNAcentral.